This 78-nucleotide microRNA precursor is filed under the name Octodon degus (degu). Its description in RNAcentral is "miRNA (ENSODEG00000022257.1)". Lineage: Eukaryota; Metazoa; Chordata; Mammalia; Rodentia; Octodontidae. The record is from RNAcentral.
CCUGGAGCUCACUUUGUAGCCCAGGCUGGUCUCAAACUCACAAGGAUCUUCCUGCCUCAGCCUCCUGGGUGCUGGGAU